UCCGGUUUGUCACCGGCAGUCUCCUAUGAGUCCCCAACUUAAUGCUGGCAACAUAGGACGGGGGUUGCGCUCGUUGCGGGACUUAACCCAACAUCUCACGACACGAGCUGACGACAGCCAUGCAGCACCUGUCACCCGGUUCCCGAAGGCACCCUCGCAUCUCUGCAAGGUUCCGGGGAUGUCAAAAGCAGGUAAGGUUCUUCGCGUUGCAUCGAAUUAAGCCACAUGCUCCACCGCUUGUGCGGGCCCCCGUCAAUUCCUUUGAGUUUCACCCUUGCGAGCGUACUCCCCAGGUGGAAUGCUUAUCAGGUUUCCUUCGGCACUGACCCAAAAUGGGCCAACACCAAGCAUUCAUCGUUUAGGGCGUGGACUAC
Molecule: unclassified non-coding RNA, 374 nt
Filed under: uncultured bacterium
Lineage: Bacteria
Description: contains 16S-23S intergenic spacer region
Source: RNAcentral